UAUAAACAGACAUUUCACUAGCUUUCUACAUGCAGUUGUCAGUGUAGGUUAAUCCAGGCCUGACACAACCCUCAGAUUCACUCUAGGGCCUCUCAGCACAGACUACCCUUGUUAUGAAUGGUGUCAGGCAGUGUGAUGGCUUUGUGUUCGUGAUGUAACACCACCACUGCAGGUAGCAGAAGCUGCCACUUAUUUUAUUCUAGCUUGGGAACUUGAAACACAUUUUAAAAAAGCCCAGAACCAAAAAGGAACCUCAACAAACCCACAAACAAACAGCAUAAAAAUAUAAUUUUUUUUUCUUUUUUCUUUUUUUUUUUGUUUUAAUGGGUAUAUCAGCCAUCAUUCAUAAGUGAAAACUUAGACUGUCCAGGUUCACAGACCUUAUCAGUUGUAAACUAGUUUUUGCAAAACCAGCUGUGGAAAAUAGCACUUUCUGCAAAUAUGUUCCAUGUCUUCUAGAAGGUAGAAAAUAAGAACAUCACAUUUGAGAAGCUGGAAAAAUGGAUUAUUUUCUAUUAUUAUUAUUAAGACUAUCACUCCUGAUGACUCUAAAACAAGGAUAGGGAGGAAGAAGACAAGAGGACAGCAGACAUCUUUAGAUCAAGACUUUUCCUUACCAUUAAAGUGUGAUAAAUGCCUAUUGACUACACAUCUAAGUAAAAGUACAGUGG
Molecule: long non-coding RNA, 671 nt
Filed under: Cyanistes caeruleus (blue tit)
Lineage: Eukaryota; Metazoa; Chordata; Aves; Passeriformes; Paridae
Description: lncRNA (ENSCCEG00000000881.1)
Source: RNAcentral